Molecule: non-coding RNA, 1835 nt
Organism: Drosophila virilis
Lineage: Eukaryota; Metazoa; Arthropoda; Insecta; Diptera; Drosophilidae
Source: RefSeq, a predicted model, not a curated record
UCAGCUGUGGUUUUCCCAGGCUUGGGAAUCAUAGCUAUGCCAGCGUGUUUCCAUUUGUUUUGGAAGUGCCCUAGCCUGAGACUAGAGUUGUAAAUUAGCAGUAGGUAUAACAGUGCUUUUUGUGGUAAGAGUUGGAUAAUUCUGUUAUCUAUUUUAUCUUCUCCAGGUGACUUUGUUUGCUUAGUGCAUUGAUUUUCAGCUUAAGCUUGUUAAGCGUGAUUGGCUUGAUUGUCUGCUGUAGCUCCUGGUCUGUUUGCUGCUGCUGAAGCUUCUGCUGCUUCAGUUGCCUCCAUUCUUCGCGAAUUUCUGCACGCUCCUCAUCCGAGUUUGAGAAGUUGAGAAGUGGGCUGAAACGUUCUUCAAGGUGAGCGCCGAAGGCCUUCGCUUUUUUGGCAGUUGUUUUUUUCCACAUUGCGUUUGAAUUUGACGCAUUCCUCGCGACUCCGUUGCCAGCAUUAGCCUGUGGCAGUUUUAUUGGCCAGUUUGGCAGUGGCUGUUUUUUUUAUUUUGUUGGUAAGUCGCCAUAGCUUUUGCAUUGCAUAUCGAUCAUGAGUGUCAAUGUCCACAAGUAUUUUAUUAAUGUUCUUGUUUUUCAGCUGUGCAGCCCUGUAUUGCUGUCCUGCCUCUGGAGUUCGUGUCGCCAUUAAGAUCUGUUUGCAUCUCUGUUUCAGUCCAGUUCAAGUUCUUGCCUAUGGCGGCCCCGGUGACUAUGUUGGUUUCCAUGAUGCCUGUGUGCUGCGGCAUUUGCAGCUAUUUAGAUGUUGCGUACGAGGAUAUCCACUGCAACGUCGAUGUCCGUGCCACUGCGGAUCUCGGUGUUUAGGUGGAUUUGCUGGUCAAGAACAUCCUGAAAUCGAUGCGUAUUGGCCCCAGAAGGUGGUCUUCGUCCAAGUCUGUUGAGGAGUGGAUUCGAAGCCGAUUGCUAUCUAAGCCACCGUGGACUGCAAAGUCAAUUGCAGAAGGACUUUUCCUUCUAUCGUACGGGUAAUGCGUCGCUCCACCGGUGGCCAAGACAUUAUAACGACAAUGACAGGCGGAUUGCCCCACCAUGAGUGCUGGGCGUUCCAAUCGCCGCAGAAAAUAAGUUUGAUGGAGCCGGGUCGGUGAAGUUGUCAAAAUGUUUGAAUAGUUUUGUGAUGUGUUCGACGAACCAUUUGAACACUGGUGGGCAAUAGAUUGGGGCAAUUAUAAUUAUUUCCCUUUUAUUCUCAUUUUCAAGCAACAGGGCAAUAGGCAUUCUCUGGAGAAAGUUCGCGUUAAUUGGCUGGAGGGCAGCGUGCCUGAUAUCGUUACGCACAAAGAUAGCGACCCCCCCCUCUACAAUGCGUGCGUGCAUGGGUUACACUGUACGUGUGGUAGCCUGCUACGCUUUGUAUGUUAGUGCCGGACGUGACCCGAGUUUCGAUGACCAUCAUGAUUUGUAUGGACUCGCGUCGAAUGUACAGCUCGAGUUCCGUCAUUUUGUUGCCUAUGCCACAUGCGUUCCAGAAAGCAAUUUUAAAUGGGUUGCUAUUUUGGCUGCAAUUGUGGAUGGUCAGAUGUGAAUUUACUGUACUGAUUGGCGCCAGACUGCGGACAUUUUCAGCGGAAGUAUUAGUGGCUAAAGUCGAUUGAGCGGCGGUACUACCGUGUGGAUGACUAUACAUAAUUGAUGGAUUCAUUGGCGAUGGCAGCUUUCAUAGAGCAGUCCAUUUGGACUGUUUUGCUGUCUGAUUGUUGUUGAGCUGUGUUUUACAACACAUGAUUAUUGGUAUUUGUGUUAUUGUUUUUAUAAUGAGUGGCAAUUGCAAAAGGACAUUUAAUAAAGUAUAUAUUCCUCGUUUCAUGCGAGUGAA